Molecule: long non-coding RNA, 975 nt
Filed under: Marmota monax (woodchuck)
Lineage: Eukaryota; Metazoa; Chordata; Mammalia; Rodentia; Sciuridae
Source: RNAcentral
CAUUCUGCGUGACCUUGGGUGUGCGCGCAGGAAUGCGCCCGGAUGGCUGUGCGGGGCCGGGACUGCGCAGCGCGGAGGGUGCGUUCUCUGCAUCGGGGGUUCGUGUGAGCAGUGGCCUCGGUCAGCGGCGUUUCAUGCGCAUCUCGAAGUUUGUUUACGCAAUUGUUUUUCUGUUGAUUUGCUUCUUAUAAUUUGUGAAUCGGUUCCGGUUGGGGGGGAGGUUCCAUCCAUGUUGAAGUGUUUCUGCCCGCGGUAAAAGGGCUCGUUGGCUAUUUAGCGUGUACAUGAAAACGCCAAACCAGGUAACGUUUAAGUGGCUACCAGGUUCCACUACGUAAUGCGACUGGUGCUACGACGAGAUCCACACCGAAAUGCGAAAACCUCAGUAACUUUGUUAUGUUCGAAUUUUCUGGAAGGAACUCUAUGCAGUCUGAAAGGAUUGAUGGAGAGUACAGUAAUUGCUUUCAGCAUAGCUUUUGUUAGGCGGUGACUGUUAAACUUGGGGGUUUAUACCUGUACAUCUUGUGCACUCGUGAACACCCUUAGAGGUUGUGAAAUUUUGGAAAGGUUAAGUGAGACGAGGAGGCUUGUGUCAGCUUUUCUCCCCCACUUCAGCUUUACUUAAAAUUGUAACUAGUAAUUUGCAGAACGUUCAUUAUCAGAUUUGAUAAUUACAUAUUAAGAUUGCACAAUAUGUUUAUGUCCAAAUUGUGGGUAGUGGGUUUUAGUUUCUUAUGAGAAAGUGACAUUUAGUUUUAAUCUUUUAAGUGGUAGUUACCACUAAAAAUGAUUUUGAAAUGGAUCAUGCAAAAGGGUCAGUGGAUACGUUCAAUUUAUCUCCUUAUGCUAAUUAAAAAAAACCUGUUUUCAAUGGUUCCCUCAGAUAUCAAAAUCUGAUGCUUAACUUUCUUACAUAAGUCUAAUAUUUACGUAUAGUUUACACACAUUGCAAUUUUUCCAUAUAUUUUAAGUAAC